UACGAAGGGGGCUAGCGUUGUUCGGAAUUACUGGGCGUAAAGCGCACGUAGGCGGAUCUGUAAGUAGGGGGUGGAAUCCCCGGGCUCAACCCGGGAACUGCCUUCUAGACUGCAGACCUUGAGAUCAGGAGAGGCGAGCGGAAUUCCGAGUGUAGAGGUGAAAUUCGUAGAUAUUCGGAGGAACACCAGUGGCGAAGGCGGCUCGCUGGACUGAUACUGACGCUGAGGUGCGAAAGCGUGGGGAGCAAACAGG
This 253-nucleotide ribosomal RNA is filed under the name uncultured bacterium. Its description in RNAcentral is "partial 16S ribosomal RNA". It matches the Rfam family "Bacterial small subunit ribosomal RNA", at positions 524 to 776 of the family's 1533-position model. The record is from RNAcentral.